CUUUUCAGCCUUCUGUAUUGAGUAUAUUCGACCCUUUUCAGAAAUUAUGUUGCAGACGUCAUGCUUAAGGGAAAAGAUGUGUAGUAGAAGUGUUGGAAUUGUAUUUCCACCCAAAUAGUAGUAUAAGUUAAAGUGUCGGUGUCAUGACCUAUUGGUAGCUAGUAGCGUGUGUGGAUUGUAUGAUAAUUUGUGGGGGAAAUAUUUGACUCAGAUUUCUUUUAUCUA
RNAcentral lists this long non-coding RNA (225 nucleotides) under Capsicum annuum. Its description in RNAcentral is "long non-coding RNA (CANN_LNC003480)". The record is from RNAcentral. Lineage: Eukaryota; Viridiplantae; Streptophyta; Magnoliopsida; Solanales; Solanaceae.